Molecule: non-coding RNA, 4487 nt
Organism: Maylandia zebra (zebra mbuna)
Lineage: Eukaryota; Metazoa; Chordata; Actinopteri; Cichliformes; Cichlidae
Source: RefSeq, a predicted model, not a curated record
CUAGACUGGGCACAUGUAUAGUGGAUUAAAUAAGAGAAUAUUUCAUCAUGUAAAGAAAAUGUAUUUGUUAUGUAAAUGAGUUAAUUGUGUUAAAAUUACUGCCUGGAUUUCUCAUACUCACCAUAACCUAGAUGUACUCUUUUCAAGGAACACAGAUCUUACAAGACUGUUUGACGGUGAGCCAGAACACUUGACUCCAUCCACUUCUCAGACCUUGCUUGAGAGUGACAUGUUUUUGGUGGCAGGAAGAAUAAUGGGACAUUCAUUCAUUCAUGGUGGACCGUGUGUGUCUGGUAUAAGUCCUGCAAUUUGAAAUGCUUUAUCAGUACAGUGGAUGUUCUUUAAGUAUUUAACAUUUAAAGUGUUUUUUACUUUACGGACUCACACUUCAGUUUUGGUUUGGUCUCACUGUUGUAGGUCAUAACACGAACAAGCCGUCAAGUCAAGCAGCUGAGGAAAGGGCUUCAGGAGACCAUGGUAUGGCCGCUUCUGACAGAAAGAUCAGACAUCAUUCCUCUUUUCUUACCAAGGGACUCAGAGACUGCUCCCUGUUGAGUCUAUUCUAGAAAGGAUAGUGUGGCCUGCCACAGAAGAUGAAGAUGAGGAGGAAGAGGAAUGCUCUCUUGAGGAUAAAUGCAGAGUGGCAGGCUACCUUUGGUCCUUCAUUGAAAAUGCGUCUUGUGCACAACGAAAAGCCCUCAUCAAGUUUUGGACAGGAUGGGAAGUCUUGCCGAGAGAAAUGACUGUGGAAGUGGUCAACAGUAGUCUUCCACCUGUUUUGAAGUACUACGUCUUCCUGCACACUACUGUACCUAUGAGUCAUUUCUAAUGGACAUUCAGGUGUGUCUCAACUCUACUGACUCAGGUUUUGGUCUGGUUUAGGAUUGAUUCCAUAACCACAUGGUAAGAUUAGACCAUUUUUCUUUCUUGCAUCACAUUACUGUACUCGGUGUUCAAAGAAACGGACAAUCUAGUGAGUUCUAGUUCCUUUAAUACACUUGACAGUGUAAAAUACACAGUACAGGUGAGCAUUUAUUGCUUUUUGUCAGUUUAUAUUAAAAAGAGUUCAGAAAACAAAAUUAUAUUAUUAUAUAUUUAUAAUAUAUAUUAUAUUAUAAAUUACACAGUAUGUUUAUUUUAUUCUCGCUACUGGAAAACUUAUUUGCAUUAAGAUGUUAUACUACUUUACCGUGUGCAUUGUAUUAAAUCUGCUCAGUUGACAUGUACUGUACAUCCAAGAAAUGAAUAUCAAAUCAAAUCACUUAUUUUAUUGUCACUUAUUUUUAUUAUUAUUAAAGUGACAGCUGUGUAAAAUAAAUCCUGUUUUAUAGCCACUCACUGUUUUGUUGAAAAUGAAAUCGGUUAUGCUGUUUUGAGUCAGUAUUAGCUACAAAGCCAUAGAUGUAGAAACUUAAAAAAGGGGUGUGAACAUAUUGCACCUGCUUACUUUGAAGACUUAAGGUGUGGUAUCAAACAUAAGUUUGAGUGACUGAACAGUUUCACAGUAGGUAUCCAAAGCUUGACUGAGUGAAACCCUGUUGUUUGGUAGCACAGCAAGCUCUCGUUCACUCAGUGCACGUGGGAGCUGAAUCUCAGGAAUGGUGAUCUCAUUUGAUGGGCGGUGAUUAUGUGGUCCUGUCCAGUCCACACCAUAAUCCUCAUCAACCUGAAAGACCAUGCACAUGUUUUAAAUCUAAACUGAAGAGGUGAUUCCUGCAGCUGUUCCUAGAUGGACUUAUUGAGUCUGUCAGGGCCUAUGUGAGUUUCUUAGGCAUAAUUAUUCAUUCACCCAUUCUAGGUCAGGAUUGGUUCUCUUCAGGUAUAACAAAUUUAACUUUGUUUAAAGUAUUGCCAUCUAUACCUGACAGAUUGAAUAAAAGGAGAGAAUGGCUUGAAAGACAUUUUCACUUACAGGAGAAAUAUUUGGUACACCAACUCGAACAGUAGAAAUAAACUCAUCUCAACUACAGAUAGUAGAGUUUUACAUAGAAGAACAAAUACGGAUCAAAUAGUCAUGUACCUGUGACAAAUCUUGUCCCUCCUUUCUGUGCAGCAACCAGAGUUGCAGAGGUGAAUGGUUGUUUGCUGUUCUGAGUCCGUGCUGAUUCCAUGCUUCCUGGAAUGACUGAAGAUGAUGUUGAAUGUGAUGCAAAAAGCAUCUGUGCAGUGCAAACAAGUCAAUUUCUUCACCAGGGUUGAGCAGUCCUUGAAUCUCCAGCUGGGUGAAGAUUGUGUAGAAAAGGUCAAGGACGUUUUCAUAUACAUCCCUCCACAGGCGCUCAAUGCUAUAAGACACAGUGAGGGAAGUUGUUCAUUUAUGGUUUUUCAGGCAUUCCUACGUCAACAGCCUUCCAAGUCAAUUAUUAGUGUAGUGUUAAUGUGCUGUGAAACCAGUCAAUUAUGUUCAGAAACCAUUUGUUUUAUUACAGUUGCAUGUGUGAAAACAAUGUAAGACAGGCCAUCAAUUUACUUGUCCUUACUGCUGGUGUGAGAGUUCCUGUUCUCCCCCAUUGUCUGCACCAUGAAAUGUGCAACCUUCACAUUUUCCCCUCCUUUGUCUGACCUGGAAAAAAAGUAGAGAAGUUUUGAUCCGAGUCAGUGAGAGUAACAAUCUGAAUAUAACUACUGUCCAAUACAGAGUUUUUUGGCAUACUGUAUUUGUUAAACACCUCUUACCGGACGGUAUGCCAUAUUGUCUGAUUGCUGACAAGAAACCAUCAAAAACUGUUGUAACUUUGUUGUUGGUGGCAGCUUUAAGGUAGACAAUUAACCUCGAAAAACCAUCUAUCCCACCAUGGACAACAAAUCUCCAUCUGACAAGGCAGAAUUAAAAAAAACAAAACAAGAAAAAACAUUGUCAUGUCCCCAGUUACAUACAAGCAAGACCAAUAUUUCAGUUCCAUAUAAAGUGACAACAUGUUAUAACAGGAAUGUAAAAGAAAUAAUAGAAGGGAAACUUAAACACUUUACAGAAAGAUCUGUAGUGCAAGGAAUCACAUGCAUAAUGUAAAGCCUCAGACAUGACUAUAGCAAAUCCUGUAAAUGGCCUUAUAUGACAGCAUUUAAGAUGACAUUUACAAAUUCAAGGCUUCAUUUUACAAUUUUAUACAUGCAUCCUGUUACUUCAAUGGAAUUGGGAAAAGGUGAUGCAAGCACUGACCAAAUUAGUUUAUGAUUUCCAUCGAUAUGCCAAAGGUGAUUUAGUGCUGGUACACUGUACUGACGAUGCCUUGCAGUCUAAAUAGAUAACCGUGGCAUCAUGACCCCUUCUGGAUUGACUCGUCUCAUUGAAUCCAUCAGUCGAAAUCCUGAUUAACAAACAGAUCAUGUCUUAGUACUAACAACUACAAAAAGACUGUAUUGUAAACACUGUAAUGCUUAUGAGACAGAUCUUCAUUGCUUCAGGUAAGUAUCCAGGUGCUGUACAGAUUUACUGAGGAGAGAGAAUCGUGUACAAACUGGUUCAAACAAGAACAUAACUGCAUAACAGUGAUACGAACAUGCCUAGUCAUUUUUGAUGCGUACAUUAUAAUAUCACAUCAUGGCUACACUGACACAUGCUUUCUGGGUGUUUGGAUAUUCAAACAAUAUCAGCUUACUUUGAAUGUGUAUGCCUCUGGAUCGUAGAUGUCCCAUCAUCAUUCUGCAGCCGGCAUUUGGGUGAUGACGCUGAAUGUCCAGCACUUUUGCAUCCAAGUCCUCAUUCCCAAUAGAAGAAUACCUAUCAGAUUUUCUGCACAUAAUUUUUUUUUUUUAGUAUAACAGCAAGUCUCAACAAAACAAUGUAUUCUUGUUUUAGCUUUACUGAAGACACCAGAGAAAGUAUGAUAUUUAAAAUGCUGCUGUAAUAGACAAAACCAUUUCAAUAAACUUGCUAUUUAACAUCAACUUUGUUAUGUGUUAUCAGAGAACAAUUAGCUGCAAACAGCAAUGAAACAUUCAACUAUGUACUAUUUAAAGCACUAAUGACCCUGCUGUCUACCAAGAUGUGAUAAGUAAGUAGACUGUGGAAAGCUGGUGGGUCUACUCUGUGUAAAAGGUUCCUACAGGUUCCACUGCCCCCAGUCUCCGAGUUAACACACUCUAACAGCUAACACUGCGCCGGCUAAACGUGUCUCAACAACGAGAUGGCGCCGAUAGCUUUAGCCGUAGCUGCCCCACUUAUUUUAGACAUUCACAAUAAAAAAGUAAGCGAUAAUAUUUCAAUAUCAAACGUCAUAAUUAAGGUCAAUAUCUAAAUAAUGCUGUGUACAGACUCACACAGGUGUUAAAUUACAGCAUAAACUUACUUCAGACAUUCCUUUCGACAAUGCUGUCAUCGAUGCUAACAUCUUGAAGAGCAAUUAUAAUCCCAAGCAUUUCAGAAACAUCAUCUAAACGACUCAAAACAGUAUCUACAGGUAAAUGAUCCCUCUCUAUCUGAUCUCCUAAAAUGAGCAGAAUUGACUGAAGUUCACACCAGACCGCCAUCUAUGGGCUCAAAAUGU